UUAUUUGAAUUUUGCAUGAUACUACCAUUGUAUUUUUCUUAAUUCUUUUAUUUUUCGUUCCUUCCUCGAAGUUCUUACAAAAGCUACCGUCCAUUUUGAAUUGUAUAAAUAAAUAAGUUGUGCUUCCUAAAGUAUUAGCAUCAUCCAUAACAUAAUAAUUUAUUGUUUAUUGUUAUUAUUAUUUUUGGUAUUUCUUCAUUGUGUGAAGUGAAAUUGUUAUAAACGUUUCUCUCUUUGUUUCUUCUUUUGUAGAAACUCAAGGAAGCGAAAUUGAAUUUCACUUCAAAUUCUAAACUCUGCCGAAUCAAUAUAAAUUUAUCAAAGGCGUUUCAUGAUCGAAAUUCAAACGAGUAAAAUGGAUUCAUCAUCAAUAUCGGUGACCGUGCAAGAAAUAAUGAAGAUUCACAGAUCAUUACCAGCGAGGCCGAAAACAGAGGAGGUUGAAGCGGCGAUGACGGUGGUGGAAAACGCCGAGAGAGAAGAAGCGUCGAGACUAGAAGCACUUUCAUCUUCGGCGAGAAAGAACAAAGGUUCUUCUUCAAUGGCGGAAGAAGAUAUUUUCGCAAUUCUACAAGAGAUGAAGAAGAGUAUAAUUUGUUUCCAAUGCAAAGAGAAAAAAAGAGAAGCUAUUAAACUGUUAGAACUCGAAAAUGUUCAUGUUCUCUUCGAUGAAUUGAUUCUAAGGGCUUCUAACUGUGUUAGUGGGCCUAACUUUGUUACUGGGCCGUCUAAGGCCCAUACUGCUUCUGUUUCUGUUUCUUCUUCCGGUUUGUUGAACAAAGAAACGGUUAAUAUUAAGAAGCCUUUGGAGUUAAAAUUGUUGAGUAGAGAUGACAGUUAUUUGAAUACUAAUAAGGUCAAGUCUAGAUUCUACAAUGAUGCUUAUGGAAUUGGACACAACAUUGAGUCCUCAAUGAAACAUGCAUCCACUUCAGGUAAAGAAUAUGGUGGUGGUGAAAAUAAGUUGAGUUUGAUAAAACUAGCCAACUUAAUCGAAGUUUGUGCAAAAAAAGGUGCACGUGAACUAAAACUACAGAACAAGUUAAUGGACACAGUUGAUUGGUUACCCGAUUCAUUAGGGAAGUUAUCAAGUUUAAUCACUUUGGAUUUAUCACAAAACCGAAUCAUAACUCUUCCUUUCACAAUAACCACCCUUUCAUCCCUGACUCAUUUAGAUUUACAUUCAAAUCGAAUCACAGAUCUACCAGAUUCUUUUGAAGGUAUCAUUAAUUUAAUUCACUUAAACAUUAGUGGAAACAUGUUACAGUCUCUACCACCAUCUCUUACCAAAUUGGUUCAUCUUAAAGAACUUUAUUUAAACUCAAAUCAAUUAUCCUCACUUCCUGAUUCAAUUGGGUCACUUGUUAGCUUAAAAGUUUUAAAUGUUGAAACAAAUGACAUAGAAGAAAUUCCACAUUCAAUUGGUAAUUGUUGUUCCCUUAAAGAGCUAUGUUGUGAUUAUAAUAAGCUUAAAGCUUUACCUGAAGCUGUAGGGAAAAUUCAGAGCCUUGAGAUUUUAUCUGUGAGGUACAACAAUGUUAAACAGUUACCUACGACGAUGUCGUGUUUGGUUAAUCUUAAGGAACUUAAUGUGAGUUUUAAUGAGAUUGAGUUUGUUCCUGAGAGUUUGUGUUUUGCUACUAAUCUUGUUAAGAUGAAUGUUGGGAAUAAUUUUGCUGAUAUGAGAUCAUUACCAAGGUCUAUUGGGAACCUUGAAAUGCUUGAGGAAUUGGAUAUUAGUAAUAAUCAGAUACGUGUUCUUCCUGAUUCUUUUAGAAUGCUUACUCGACUUAAGAUACUUAAAGUGGAAGAAAAUCCUCUUGAAGUCCCUCCAAGAAAUAUAGCUGAAAAGGGAGCACAGGCAGUUGUGCAGUACAUGGCUGAGCUUGUGGAGAAAGGGGAUGUAAAAUCACAGCCACUCAUCAGGCAGAAAAAGAGUUGGGCUGAUCAAAUAUGCUUCUUUUCAAAGUCUAACAAAAGAAAGCGUGAUGGGGUUGAUAAUUAUGUGAAGGCCUGAUUAAGUUCAAUUAAAUCAUUGGUGGAAAGUUACAUAUUCCAGGAUAUUAAUGGUGUCAAACAAGUCUAUAAUAUCCUACCAGCAGAAAAUAGAUAUGGAAGAAGGGAGAUGGGAAAGGUGUAUUAUCUAUGAUGUGACUUCAGUUUUUUUUUGUUUUGUUGACGGAACAGGUGACUUGAGUUCAAUAACGUUUUUUGCAACCAAUGAAAUUGAAAAGCUGAGCUGGAUUUGACGUUUUUUUACUUUGAAAAAAGUGUAUCCAUAAAUUUAGAAACAUCUUCUGCAUAUUUUGUGUGACAACAUGAGUUUCCAUGCAUCAUCUUUGCGAGUGAGUCCAAAAAUAUUAUCAUAUAUUACGUUCUUUCAACGCUUGGGGGAUUUUCAUAUAUCCUCUUUGACCUGCAUCCACUAUUCAAUAACUUCCUAUAUACACAAUAUUGGAAGUUACUAUGCAUCACCUUCUUAUCUAGAUUGUAUUGUUUAGAUUUUUAAAAAAUACAAAUAAAAAUAUUGAACUUGAAAUUUAAAGUGUCACAUUUCGAUCGAAUGGUCACAUAGUAAGUAAAUUUAUGAAUACAUGUAUUUAGUAAUUGGAUAAAUGCAUGCUCUAAGUGAAAAUAGAGAAUUCCUGAAUUUAUAUACACAUAUACAUUAAAAAUUUAAUAAACUAAUAAUCUUUCUAUGUUGAUUUUGUCAUUGAUAUAGUUUCGAAAUGUAGCUGUUGUUUAUAAACUUGGAUAUUAUACCAUAAAAUGUAGAAAUAAAUAUGAUCAAUAUGGUUGUAGUUGCAAUUGUAAUGCUCUUGUAGACCUCUAAAAUGUUUUAUUACAUGUACAAUUGCAAAUCGUAAUUUUUAAUUAUUGUCAUUGGUUUAUAUAAUUUAUGGCGGAUCAAUUAAUUAGUGAAAUGGUAAACGAGAUGACGAGAGUACUAUUCAAUAGUAUUAAUGUUAUUGUUCCGGUUUUUAAUAGAUGAAAACACCUUGAUACGUCUUCUCUUAUACUAAAGAAAAAACGGACACGAAAAUUAGCUACACAACUACCAAAACAAAAUUUACAAGACAAAUCCUCUCAUAUUAGAAAAGAAGAUAGACAUCAAAAGUUGUAUUAACAAUAUUUAUAUCACGCCAACAAUCACAACAUCACCACGACUACAAUUUAAAAUUUGCCAUAAAAUACUUUCGCCUUUUACGUUAAAAGAUGUUUAAGAAAAUAGAUUGAAACUAAACAUUUUCCAAAGCAUUUGAAACAUGAUCCAUAUAUUUCAUAAAAGAGGACAUAUUUUCAAGAUAAAGCAUGCAUAAUAACAUAAAAAAAAAAAAAAAAAA
Molecule: RNA transcript, 3344 nt
Organism: Cicer arietinum (chickpea)
Lineage: Eukaryota; Viridiplantae; Streptophyta; Magnoliopsida; Fabales; Fabaceae
Gene name: plant intracellular Ras-group-related LRR protein 4
Source: RefSeq, a predicted model, not a curated record